This 45-nucleotide non-coding RNA is filed under the name Schistosoma mansoni. Lineage: Eukaryota; Metazoa; Platyhelminthes; Trematoda; Strigeidida; Schistosomatidae. The record is from RNAcentral.
AUCCAUCUGACGAGUAUCAAAUAGGACGAAACUCGCGUCCUGGAU